Molecule: ribosomal RNA, 484 nt
Filed under: uncultured bacterium
Lineage: Bacteria
Description: partial 16S ribosomal RNA
Rfam family: Bacterial small subunit ribosomal RNA
Source: RNAcentral
AUUGAACGCUGGCGGCAGGCCUAACACAUGCAAGUCGAGCGGAUGAAGGGAGCUUUCUCCUGUCUUCAGCGGCGGACGGGCGAGUAAUGCCUAGGAAUCUGCCUGGUAUUGGGGGAUAACGUCCGGUAACGGGCGCUAAUACCGCAUACGUCCUUAUGUUGAAAGUGGGGGAUCUUCGGACCUCACGCUAUCAGAUGAGCCUAGGUCGGAUUAGCUAGUUGGUUGGGUAAAGGCCUACCAAGGCGACGAUCCGUAACUGAUCUGAGAGGAUGAUCAGUCACACUGGAACUGAGACACGGUCCAGACUCCUACGGGAGGCAGCAGUAGGGAAUAUUGCGCAAUGGGCGAAAGCCUGACGGAGCCAUGCCGCGUGUGUGAAGAAGGUCUUCGGAUUGUAAAGCACUUUAAGUUGGGAAGAAGGGAAGUAAGAUAAUCCCUUGCUGUUUUGACGUUACCAAAAGAGUAAGCACCGGCUAACUUCGUG